UCGUUUCGGGGUGGGUAUCCGUUGGGAGGCUUCAUGAGCACCAGCCAGUGCUUGUAGUCGCAGCCUUCGACUAAACUCGGCACUCGAAUUAACUCGGAGCAACGAGUCGUGUCCGAGUUAACGGAACCAGAACUUCCGGAGAACGGUAAUAACGGAGCAAGUCGAAACCGGACGGCUGCUGCCGUUAGGUUUGACGGCCUUCUGACGUAAAAAACGUUUAUUCAAAUAUGAUAUGACCAUAUCCUCCAAAUACAUGGAGUUAAGGUCAUUAACGCCCCAUAUAAUAAGAUUUUGGGUCUAGUUUAGCAACAUUCUAAUUUAACAAUCGUAAAUGCAACUGCAAAUAUUCUUGUUAUUUCCGAUACAAAUGCCAUCCAUGUUGUACUUUUGAAGACAAAGCGGUGUGCAUUCUUGAAAACUGCAUGCCUUCCUAAGGUUCGGAUUCACCCUGCAUAUUUUCUGUGCAUUUGGCAAAGCCAAAAAGGCUAAAAACAAAUAAAAAUAUUUAACAAGCCUACAAAUGAAUUUAAGUAUAUUAUGCAAACAAAACGAGAAUAGUUCAUUUGAAAAUAAUUAGUUGAAUAGUACUUUAGCCAAAGGGUUCCUACAAAGAACCUGAAGAAUGAUCUGACUCUUCUUAAAGAGAUCAAGGGAAGAUGAGCAUACCAAUGAAAUACAAAGCAUACAAAUCCUUACCUGAGAGAACAAACAUGGAGAUGACCAGAUACGAACACAAGAAUUUUGUCAUGACUUUUGAAUAAUUAGAUGACUAUGUUAAUUAAACAAUUAUUAUUUUUAUUUGAUAUUGAAAACGUGAUAAAGAAUGAAUGUUUUAUAUACAAGUAAACAUUGACGAUACAAACAUAGAGGGAAUCUCUUACUAGGAAACAUUUUUAAAAAUUACAAUGGAAAGAGAAUCAUAAUAAUUAAUUUACAAAAUCGUUAUGGUAAACAAUCUUACAUUUUUCAAUUACUGAAAGACAUUUUAUUGUUUUAAAUUCUUAGAUAUCUUACUUUAUGUGAAUAACAAACAUAAAUUAAAAUACAUUCACUCUCUUUCAUUAUUUUAUCACCUUUUAUCCUUUGAUAUUUUUAAGUUAGUAAAAUAAUUAUAUUAAGUUAGUAUAUUAUUUAUAAAUAGUAUAUACCAAGUCUGUAUUGAAAAUAAAUUACCUUAAAUAAACAAAUAAUAUUACAAUAUAAUGAUUCCAUAUUUAAUAGAAUAUAAUGAAAAUUAAAAGCAAACACUUUAUAUUAAAAUGUAAAUAAUAAUAUUUGAAGAAACUGUUAAAUAAAUUUAUUUAUUACGUAUAAAUUUUAGAUUAAUAACAUUAAUUACAUUUCUAUAAUGGUGUAAAUAUCUAGUCUAAAUUUUUGGCAUGAUCCUAUCUAAUUGAUCCUAUAUUUUUAAUAUCCAUUCCAGCUAUAUAUAUAUACUUAGACAAUUUUUGGACAAGAUAUUCUUACAUACUUUUCUUAAAAUCAAAAACAAAUCUCCUACCAAAAAUACAUACAGAUAUCAUAUGUUUUUUUCUUUUGGUCGCACAUACACAUAACCUAUAUUUAUGUAUAAAAGCAAAAAAAAUUACCAUGUCUUAAAGUUCAAAACCGAAUUAGCUCUAAAGAUCAUUCAAUUCUUUGUAUACUCUAGAUAAACUCUUAGGUUGAGAAAGUAUCUUUAGUCAAGUGGUUAAAUGUGGUAUUCUUCACCGGAGCUUACUACAUCUCCAUUCCUACUCCAUAAUUUACUCUAAAAAUAGAAUAUGAACAAAAAAAAAAAAUUACUCCAUAAAUAGAAUGAUUUUUUUAUUUUUUGUUUUUACUCCAUUUCUCCUUCUAUUUAUGGAGUAAAUUAUGGAAUGGGUAUGAAGAUGCUCUUAGCUCCACUAAGUUGUACGUGUUUUCUGCAUUCUUUAGUUGGUUAUGAUUCGAGUUAGAAACCUUCAAAGUAGUACCAAUUUAGGAAAAUAAUAAUGAUAAAAACUUUUUUUAACAAGUGAAAGAAUUGUUUAUUUUUUGAACAAAACUUAAGUUCAUCCCCUAGGGUGAAUCUUUAAAUUCACCUCUCUUUUUAGGACCAAUCAAAGUGGCACAUAGAUAAUUAAUUAAAAAAUAUUAAAUUUAUUUAAAAAUAACUAGAAAAAAGAAUAACGUCAAUUUUAACGACGAUGACGCUGCUAGCUAAACCGUAAACCCUAAAUCUUAAAUUCUAUACCUUAAACCGCAAAUCUUAAACCCAAACCCUAAACCCUAAAUCCAAAUCCUAUACCAUAAACCUAAAUUGUAUACCCUAAACUGUAUACCCUAAACUAAACCCUAAACCAAACCAUAAACCCUAAACGCAAACCAUAUACCCUAAACCUAAAUCCUAGACCCUAAACUCAAACCUUAUAGCGUCUAGGUUUAGGGUUUGGGUUUAGGGUUUACGGUUUUGGUUUUAAGUCUAAGAUUUAGGUUUACAGUAUACAAUUUGGGUUUAGAGUCUAGGAUUUGGUUUAGGGUAUAGGGUUUGGAUUUAAGGUUUACGGUUUGGGUUUAUAGGGUCUAGGAUUUGGGUUUAGAGUAUAUGGUUUGGGUUUAAGGUCUAGGAUUUAGGUUUAAGAUAUAGGGUUUGGGUUUAAGAAUUACUGUUUAGGGUUAAGAAUUUAAGAUUCGGGUUUACGGUUUAGCUGGCGGCAUCAGCUUGUUAAAAUUAGUAUUAUUCUUUUUUUAGUUAUUUUAAAAUAGAUUAGAGCCAUGGCGAGCGUUCUGAUAAAGCCUUGUACGAUGUCGUUUCGGGGUGGGUAUCCGUUGGGAGGCUUCAUGAGCACCAGCCAGUGCUUGUAGUCGCAGCCUUCGACUAAACUCGGCACUCGAAUUAACUCGGAGCAACGAGUCGUGUCCGAGUUAACGGAACCAGAACUUCCGGAGAACGGUAAUAACGGAGCAAGUCGAAACCGGACGGCUGCUGCCGUUAGGUUUGACGGCCUUCUGACGUUGCUCGCCAUUUGUACGGCGGAGCGUAAAAGGAUGAAACCUUGAUGACGUUAGAGUCCCUUCGACUCAGACAGAA
This 3052-nucleotide long non-coding RNA is filed under the name Brassica napus (rape). RNAcentral describes it as "long non-coding RNA (BNAP_LNC018960)". Lineage: Eukaryota; Viridiplantae; Streptophyta; Magnoliopsida; Brassicales; Brassicaceae. The record is from RNAcentral.